RNAcentral lists this ribosomal RNA (488 nucleotides) under uncultured bacterium. RNAcentral describes it as "partial 16S ribosomal RNA". It matches the Rfam family "Bacterial small subunit ribosomal RNA", at positions 28 to 507 of the family's 1533-position model. The record is from RNAcentral.
GAUGAACGCUAGCGGCAGGCCUAAUACAUGCCAGUCGGACGGGAUCCAUUGAUAGCUUGCUAUCAAUGGUGAGAGUGGCGCACGGGUGCGUAACGCCUGAGCAACCUGCCUCCAUCAGGGGGAUAGCCUCUCGAAAGAGAGAUUAACACCGCAUAAUAUCAACAGUUCGCAUGUUCAGUUGAUUAAAUAUUUAUAGGAUGGAGAUGGGCUCGCGUGACAUUAGCUAGUUGGUAGGGUAACGGCUUACCAAGGCGACGAUGUCUAGGGGCUCUGAGAGGAGAAUCCCCCACACUGGUACUGAGACACGGACCAGACUCCUACGGGAGGCAGCAGUAAGGAAUAUUGGUCAAUGGGCGGAAGCCUGAACCAGCCAUGCCGCGUGCAGGAUGACUGCCCUAUGGGUUGUAAACUGCUUUUGUCCAGGAAUAAACCUAAAUACGAGUAUUUAGCUGAAUGUACUGGAAGAAUAAGGAUCGGCUAACUCCGUG